AAAGUGCCACAGUGACGUAGCUUUUAUAGAAAUAUAAAAGGUGGAACGCGGUAAACCCCUCGAGUGAGCAAUCCAAAUUAGGUAGGAGCACUUGUUUAGCGGAAUUCAACGUAUAAACGAGACAUAUGCAUAUAUUUGUUAUGUGUAGACAGAUGGUUACCACCAACGUACCAGUGUAACUAGUGCACGUGAUGAGUACAAUGGAACAGAACAUGGCUUACAGAA
Molecule: RNase P RNA, 225 nt
Filed under: Vibrio vulnificus
Lineage: Bacteria; Pseudomonadati; Pseudomonadota; Gammaproteobacteria; Vibrionales; Vibrionaceae
Description: partial RNase P RNA component class B
Rfam family: Bacterial RNase P class B
About the family: Ribonuclease P (RNase P) is a ubiquitous endoribonuclease, found in archaea, bacteria and eukarya as well as chloroplasts and mitochondria. Its best characterised activity is the generation of mature 5'-ends of tRNAs by cleaving the 5'-leader elements of precursor-tRNAs. Cellular RNase Ps are ribonucleoproteins.
Source: RNAcentral